Long non-coding RNA from Pieris napi, 3109 nucleotides. RefSeq lists it as uncharacterized. The record is from RefSeq and is a predicted model, not a curated record. Lineage: Eukaryota; Metazoa; Arthropoda; Insecta; Lepidoptera; Pieridae. The transcript has 2 exons.
GGACGCUCACUCGGCUCCGAGGUGCAGUCGAGUCCCGCACUCCGUCGGAGGUGCACGGCCCUCCGGCGCGCCGCGCUAUAUUUAGACACGAGCGUUGACGCCGCGCGCUACUCCGGCGCCGGGGCUGUCCUCACGAGUCAGGUACCUGAAGUAGCGCGCGGCGUCCGCGCUUCUCUCCGCAUCUCCUGGACACGCAGCAGCACCGAGGCCGCCGCACGCCCAUUGUACUUCAUCAGGUGCUCUGGUGAUAAUAGUUCCAGGCGCUUGUUGGAGUACACUUACCGUGUUGGCGGUUUUCUUCAGAGCACGUGGCCGGCGCGUGGCAGGUCGAGGUGAGCUCGCGGAGGUGUGGUGAGUCACCUUAUCGCCGGUUGAUGACCCGCACCCCCUCCUAGCCGCACCCUGCUAAUUUUUGCCGAGAUGUCCAGAUCACAUUUGCAUUGGUCGUCGAACUCCCCAUCUAGAACAGACAAAGGCAGCCUAAACUGGUUUUGGCAUAUUUCGUCGGCGACCGCCGCCCGACGCCGUUUUCCUGUAUGAUUCUUAUGGGCAUGUCGUCGUGUGCGCGAUGUGAUUAAUUUUCAGACAGCUUCAAGGCCUUAAAAAGUGAAAUGGAAGGCACCAUUAAUCAUCGUUACACGGCUGCUGCACAAAAUGUCGCCUCCAUUAUUCGCUGCUGAUUGUCCACGCCCACAAGAAUUGUCGUCUUUCGAAUUUAAUGAACAUUUAUUGGUAAUAUAUCGAAGGCUUAGUGGUUAUAGUUGCAUUACAUGAGUAUGUCCUGAACAAAUUACAAUUUCGGAUACAAUAGACUAUUAAUUAAUUUAUUAUUUAAUGACUGCUCUUGUGAAUUUAUUAAAUUUUAUAUCAUCCUAUCUAUGUAUAUAAUUAUCAGAAUUUCAAUCCGCGAAAUACUAGAUUCAACACUAACGUACAGUAGUUUCACACAACACUAAAUUGCGUUUUAUAUAUUCAAUACACACGACUCAUAUGAACUUAUAAGUAUAUUUAUUUAUUUAAGUUUACCACAUCGUACAUAUUUUACAAAAUCUUCCAUCUAAAAUGUAUGACAAUUUAAGUAAACAUAAGUAUUACAAAAACAAUAUUAAAUAGAUAUAAAUAGUAUAUAAACAUACACAAAUAUUCUACAGACAGAAGUAUGAAAUCAUAAAUAAAAUUAUAUUCACUAAACUUUAGCUGGAGAUGGUGAUCUGCUCUUGCCCCAACAUCAUCAAAAUGGGACGCCGGGUCACAGCAUACCAAGUAAUUAUACAUAUAUGAAACUAAAACAAUUAGCUGUAGCCUAAAACUUGUUUGUUCGUUAUUCUUUGCUUUAAUUAUAAUUAAUUGUUAGAACUUAAACUCUUUAUAAUAUAUUAGCUUUAUUUAUAUUUCCAAGUUUCCAACCCGACACUAUUCGGUUAAUUGUAAACUAGACAAAAAAUUUGCGAAUAACACAAGUACGUCACUUCUAUUGUCAGACUAUCAUUAGAUAGGCAGAAACGAUCUAGCCUAGGUCGUUGAACUUGUGGCAUUGGGAGAUUUCCUAGAUAUUUUGUACAGAGAUUGGCUAUUAAAUACAAAGGUCUUCAUUCCUGAAGGUCGACGGAUAUUAUUAAUAUGUUUCACUUGUGGUCUGACCAGAGACAUAAACGUUUUAUUAAGUAUACGAUGUUUCUGACAGCUGAACGCAUAGAAUUUCCAUACAGGGUUACUACCAAUAAAAUAAGCUAGAUAUUGAUAAUGUGUAGAAGAAAAAAAAAUAAUUGACAGGACACAAUGCGUUGUUUUCUGUCUAUUAAAUAGUUCAUAUUUCACGUACAUUAAAUUUGAAUUCAUAAUGUCAUGGAAAUUAAAAACAAAUUUCAAAAAUGUAAUACAUUAAUCUAGUAAUGGGUUUUGUGCUACGUACUAUAUCACAUGCGUUUAUUAAUUGAAGAGCAAAUAAUAUUUUUUUUUAAUUACUCCAUAAUAUUUUAAAUUACAUAUUUAACACACUACCACUUAAACGUCGGGAAAGUGUGCAAAUUAAUAUUUAUCCAUCGAAUUUGAAUAAAGGAUUAACUAUAUUUUGUAUAAUAAUACUGUACGUAUAAAACACUGCCGCAGUCUUUAGGACGACAAACGCAAUAUAAAACCUGCUUGAAAAGGGACGUUUAAAAAGUAAAAAGGAAUUAAAUGAGCAAAAGAUAUUUGCAAAUACGAGUUUAGAAUACAAGUAUGGAAGCAGAUAUCAAGUUCAAUGCUCCAAAUAUCUAUAUUUAAUCGCGUGGUGCGUCACUCUAAAGUCUAACACGAUGUUUAUAAAAUGCUAAUAAAUCGAAAGCGUUUAAUAUUAUUUUGAUUUAAAAAACUAAAAUUAACUAAUUCUUACUAUCGUUAAAAUACAUAUGUGAUUCGUUGGGUUCUUCUACGGGAAGUUCAUCUUAACAAAACAGUUCUUUAAUGUACAAAUGGUCGAUCAACUUAGUUCUAAUCUUAUCAUUAUAAUAAAUGCUUGUCUAUGUUACUAUUGUUUAAUAUUUAUUUUACCAUGCCAAAAAACAAAUUAAAAUUAAUUUAUUUUGUAUACGAUUGUUUAUGUUUAAUUAAUGUUUUGGUUGUAUUUGAAAAUUGUCACUUGAGUAGGUAAUAAGGACAAAACAUUGGAUAAUUUUAGGGUUAUAUGAUAAAAGGAGUAAAAUCAAUGUAAGAAACUGUUGUAGCUUUUAUAACAUUAUUUGCCUUAAUUCAUUAUUGUUGUUUGUUUGCAGUAGUAUAAAUUUUGGCGGUGCCAAUUGACAUUGAAAUAUAUGAUUUACGUCACAAUAGUUGAUAGUCUUUUGUCUUUACAGAGACUCUAUUGUCGUUUAUACUCACUUGUCGAAAUUGAUCCUAGACAUGGCGUUUAUAUAGAAAACUUUAUCCUACCAGCUACAUUUUGUAAAUAGGGACCAUUUUGUUUAUUAAUUGUUUGUUUUUAUAUUUGUUCGUAAGUGCCGAUAUAAAUAAUGGAUAUUUUGAUUUGAUUAGAUGAUACGAUUAUCUUGUGAUAACUUAAUUGUUAAGAAUGUUUACCAAAUAUUUGUACGCUGUAUAUGUAAAUAGAUAUUAAAUCUUACUUUUUUAA